CGUUAGCAUCUGAUUUGCGCCGACUCGGUUGGCCUCUGCUGCCAAAGAGAGAGGCAAGAGACAGGCUUUCUGUAACACUGGCAGUCUGACUUCAUCUCCUCCAACAGAUCGGCAGCAGAACAGGCUCUUGCCUGUCAGACCUAUCUGAAGUGCCCUCUUUCAUGCAGUCCUAUCUGUCAGCGGGAGGACCAGUUCUGGGAGGUGGAUGUUGUUCUUCGGGCUCCAAAGGCCAUAUGCUAAAAAUACUGAUGGCAGAGACUGAGACGGACACCCGAAGAGCACUUGGCAGUGAGGAUACUGUGCUGUGUGGAGCCUGUCCUUCAGGGGAAGAUCUCCCGCUGCCCAGUUUCUCAGGAAAGCUAGUGAGUUCUCACUCCCGUGGUGCCAAACUAGUUCCUGGAUCAUCAAGUUCUGAGAAGGAGAGGCAGCCUCCUUUGAAGCAGCACACAGCCUUCACCAACCAGACAUGGCUGUCCAGUCUUGGACUUCUCAGGUUCCAGAGCAAUCAACCAAAAUAAACAAGUGAUUUGGGCCUCGGGUAGUCUCUUUAGUAAUGGAAAACUGAAAGGUCCCGAGUAUGAGACUCAAGGGGGAUAAAUGGGCAGAUUAUCUCUUCAGAAGAAUCUCUGCUAUGACGGCUUGCUCACAUGCAGAACAAGUUGCAGCUGGCUGUCAGCAGGAGACUUUAUUUCCUCCUCUGGGUGAGCUUCUUCCUAGACCUUCUGCCUCCUCAUGACUGGGCAGCUAGCUUCCCACAAGCAGACAGGAAGGAAGUGGCUACGCCUUCUUCAACCUGGUCCUAGAAGCGCUAGCCCAUCUUUCCAGCCAUAGUCAGUUGCUGAGUCAGUCACCAGUGAUUCAGAGAUGAGCAAGACACUUGCAGCUGGUUUGAAGGAUGCGAACAGGUUCACAAACGAAUGCUGGGCAGCAGCUGGCAUUUGGAGGGGGCCAAGGUAUCAUUGCAGACUCCAGGGACGGUGCAAAAGAGGUGUCUUCAGGUCAGGAAAUUAACUCUGCUGCAACAGGCUUUGAGAGCAACAGCAACCCUGCAAAGAGUACCAGAGAAAUGGAGUAUGGUGUGUCCAUUUCACCUGGACCAUCUUCUGAAGCCCCAAAUUAAACAACCUCACCAACAUCACCCUCUUUCCAUGUAGAGAGAUUAAAAGAAGACAAUAAAGAAAAUAGA
Molecule: non-coding RNA, 1186 nt
Organism: Mus caroli (Ryukyu mouse)
Lineage: Eukaryota; Metazoa; Chordata; Mammalia; Rodentia; Muridae
Source: RefSeq, a predicted model, not a curated record